UGCGACUUCAAAGCAUCGAUGAGGAAAAUGAUGGUUCAAUCAUCGGGGGUACCUUAGCAGCUGUCAUCAUAAUAACCAUUGGUGGAGUAUCGUUUUUUAUACUUUACAGGCGUCGCAAAAAUAAAGACAGCACAAGAAGUUCAGGCGAAAUCAGAAUCCGCAAUGACACAAAUUUAGAAGACCUUUGUGUAAAUGAAAUGAAAGCAAAAAAUAGCCGGACAGGAACACAAUCUGAUGGAGAUUGCUAUGAAAAUAUAGUCAAUUUAACCACUAGCAUAAGUAUUUCGGAACUACGAACCAUGAUUAAUGAAAAAAGAGAAGGGGAAAACAAAUUGUUUCUCAUUGAAUACAAGAAACUUCCACCUGCAGAGACAAACAUCUGCGAAGCUGCAAAGAAGAUUGAAAAUGUUGCAAAGAACCGUUUUAAAG
Long non-coding RNA from Saccostrea cuccullata (small rock oyster), 429 nucleotides. RefSeq lists it as uncharacterized. The record is from RefSeq and is a predicted model, not a curated record. NCBI's taxonomy places the organism in Eukaryota, Metazoa, Mollusca, Bivalvia, Ostreida, Ostreidae. The transcript has 4 exons.